Molecule: long non-coding RNA, 1747 nt
Organism: Humulus lupulus (European hop)
Lineage: Eukaryota; Viridiplantae; Streptophyta; Magnoliopsida; Rosales; Cannabaceae
Exons: 2
Source: RefSeq, a predicted model, not a curated record
ACCAAAUAUAUGAUAAUGAUGAAUAAUAGUAUCCAUUUUUUUAUCUCAUGUACCAGUAAACCCAAAACACUAAGACCAAGAUCACUGAUGGCAAACAGAGUGUAUUUCAUUACAACAGAAUAAAUCAAGAUUGAAUUAAAGGCGUUACUAAAAUAUCCAUUUCUAUUCGUACUAAAACUUUCUUAAAAAAACAACAAUAAACCCACUUUAAUGCAGAACAUAUUAAAAGAAUACAUUAAAUAAUGUCCUUAAACCCAAAUAUAUUAAAGAGGUUUAUCAAAUAUAAUUUAUGCGAUUUUGUAGCGUACAUCCAUUGAGUUUAGUUGCACCAAAAGGUGUUUGUAUAGUUAUCCUUUUGUCUGCAUUAAAAAAUAAUUAUCCAUAACUAGAAAAGAAAAAUAUCUCCCAAACAGAUCAUAUAAUAACAUUUUAUUAAGGGAAGGUAGUGUUAAAAAAAAACUAAUGAACAUUAAUUUGGUAAAAUAUCUUAAAAGUAAAGAGAGAAUCACAAAAAAUAUAAAAUAAUAAUAAAAUCGGGCAACAACAAUCCUAGUUCCAUGGGGCCCAUGAUACUUAAUCGUAGAACCUUCAUCCAUACGCGAAUGUUAACCAAACUUCGAUCUGAGCUAACUAACUACGAUUACACUGCUAAGGAUCUCCCGUAUUUUACACGCGCUACAAUCGCGAGUUGCGUCUUUUCCUCUUCCUACAAUAAUAUCUGAAGAAAAUCAUCGAGGAUAUAAGCCCAACUAGCUCUCAAUUUUGUCCAAAACGCCCCAUUUAGCCAAAAUCCAAAUGCCACCCUCCGCCGCCCAACGAAACAUCAACAAUCUCCGCCUUAAUUUAGAUUGGAAAAAUUAAGAAAUCACCAAAACGACGAGUAGCUUUAUUUGCUGAGGAUGAGAAGUGUUACCAAUACCGAAGAUAGCCGACCAUUACAGUGGCACUACACAGUCCUGGAUGACCGUAACUUCGAAAUCCAUGGCCGGGCGCUGUUCUUCGUCAUCAUCAUCUUCUCCGUUCUCCUCGUCGUCACCCUCCUCUUCCUCUACGCCCGUUGGGUAUGCCGGUACCGCCACGUCAGCUUCCCGUCGGCCUCCGUUGUCAGUUCCCAUGCGCUAGGACUAGGAGCUCCGGUGCCUUCGCCGCAGGGUCUCGACGCCGCUGUCAUUAAAGGGUUGCCGAUCAUUUUGCACCAGGCGGAGGAUCAGAGUGAGCCGGAUCGGGCCGAGUGCUGUAUAUGCCUUGGCGUGUUUGAGGACGGAGAGAAGGUGAAGGUUUUGCCUCAAUGUUGCCAUUGCUAUCAUCCCGAGUGCGUGGAUCGGUGGCUCAGUGCUCAAUCGAGUUGCCCGCUUUGCCGAGCUUCGCUCCGAGUUGACACUGUUGUUCCUAAGAUUGUCGUAGAAUGAGGAAGCUUGAUUCUCUAGUUGGAUGCCAUGUGUUUGCCGAAAGUCCUGAAAAAAAAAGUCUGCUUUUCGCUGGCCGUGGCUGCAAGCACCUGCCUAUGUUGAUUUGCUUAUACAAGAAGUUUUGGCCAUAUUCAUCAAAACGGUGUGUUUUGACAAUAUAUCCUUGUCAUCGAUAUUGGAGAAUCGCUGAUUGGGUGGUUAUCCAAAUGUGGGGCCUACCUAUCUAUGGAAUUUGGUGAUGAUUUUAUGUGUAAUAUUAUAUUAUACAAAACAUUUCAUAAAUUAGUUUUAGGGUGUGUACUUUUUUUAUCUGUAUUUCUUUUUAUUAUUUGUUUUAA